CUUGCUUCUCUUGAGAGCGGCGGACGGGUGAGUAAUGCCUAGGAAUCUGCCUGGUAGUGGGGGAUAACGUCCGGAAACGGACGCUAAUACCGCAUACGUCCUACGGGAGAAAGCAGGGGACCUUCGGGCCUUGCGCUAUCAGAUGAGCCUAGGUCGGAUUAGCUAGUUGGUGGGGUAAUGGCUCACCAAGGCGACGAUCCGUAACUGGUCUGAGAGGAUGAUCAGUCACACUGGAACUGAGACACGGUCCAGACUCCUACGGGAGGCAGCAGUGGGGAAUAUUGGACAAUGGGCGAAAGCCUGAUCCAGCCAUGCCGCGUGUGUGAAGAAGGUCUUCGGAUUGUAAAGCACUUUAAGUUGGGAGGAAGGGCAGUAAAUUAAUACUUUGCUGUUUUGACGUUACCGACAGAAUAAGCACCGGCUAACUCUGUGCCAGCAGCCGCGGUAAUACAGAGGGUGCAAGCGUUAAUCGGAAUUACUGGGCGUAAAGCGCGCGUAGGUGGUUCGUUAAGUUGGAUGUGAAAUCCCCGGGCUCAACCUGGGAACUGCAUUCAAAACUGACGAGCUAGAGUAUGGUAGAGGGUGGUGGAAUUUCCUGUGUAGCGGUGAAAUGCGUAGAUAUAGGAAGGAACACCAGUGGCGAAAGCGACCACCUGGACUGAUACUGACACUGAGUGCGAAAGCGUGGGGAGCAAACAGGAUUAGAUACCCUGGUAGUCCACGCCGUAAACGAUGUCAACUAGCCGUUGGGA
Molecule: ribosomal RNA, 752 nt
Filed under: uncultured bacterium
Lineage: Bacteria
Description: bacterial SSU rRNA
Rfam family: Bacterial small subunit ribosomal RNA
Source: RNAcentral